This is a non-coding RNA of Paramuricea clavata, 428 nucleotides long. Lineage: Eukaryota; Metazoa; Cnidaria; Anthozoa; Malacalcyonacea; Plexauridae. The record is from the annotation of a GenBank genome assembly.
GGAACUGUACUGCACUAUUUCAAGCUACUCUGUAUGCAAGAACAUUUGCGCUACCAGACAGUACAGGAAAGAAAAAGACGCUUGGAGAAAUGUAUUUAAAAGGACGAAAGCCAGUCCCUGCUCCAUUCCACUCUGCAGUGAAGAGCUCGAGCAGAGAUGCAAAUGAGACGAUUGCACUUGCCAUUGACCAGCUUCGUCUUUUACGAAACAUUCUUUGUCAUACAUCCAACCCUCAAAUUAAUAAAGUCACAUUCGAUGACUAUAUCAAGCACGCCAAAGAUGCGUUUACUGCUUUGAAUUUUAGCACGACAUCUCUGGAGAGGAUUGGGAACAUGAGAGAAUCGGAUUUUCCUACAAAGGAAGUAGAAAAACUUAAUGAGGGAAUCAAUCGUCUGAGGAAUGAUUUCCAUCUGUUUCUUGAAAAUGAG